RNAcentral lists this ribosomal RNA (318 nucleotides) under uncultured archaeon. RNAcentral describes it as "bacterial SSU rRNA". It matches the Rfam family "Archaeal small subunit ribosomal RNA", at positions 481 to 800 of the family's 1478-position model. The record is from RNAcentral.
AGCACGAGUAGUGGUGACUUUUAUUGAGCCUAAAGCGUUGUAGCCGGUUUUGUAAAUCUUUAGAUAAAGCGUGAAGCUUAACUCCACCCAGUCUGAAGAGAUUGCAAGACUUGAGAUGGGGUGAGGUUAAACGUACUUUCAGGGUAGGGGUAAAAUCCUGUAAUCCCGGAAGGACGACCAGUGGCGAAAGCGUUUAACUAGAACGAAUCUGACGGUAAGGAACGAAGGCUAGGGUAGCAAACUGGAUUAGAUACCCGGGUAGUCCCAGCUGUAAACAUUGCCCAUAUUAUGUGGCUUUUCCGUUGAGGGAAGGCAGUG